Pelobates cultripes (western spadefoot toad) is the source of this 911-nucleotide non-coding RNA. NCBI's taxonomy places the organism in Eukaryota, Metazoa, Chordata, Amphibia, Anura, Pelobatidae. The record is from the annotation of a GenBank genome assembly.
AGACACAUGGAGCGGGAUCGGCCGGGCCGGAUGGGGGAGCGCUGGGUGUGAGGGGCAAGCCUUAACAUGAGCCCUGCCAGGGCUUCCUGCUCCCUACCUCCUCACCAUCAAUGGCAGAGCGCUUAUAGUGUGCACUGAUCCAGUGUGUGUGUGUGGGAGCCAGUGUGUGUCUGGGAGUCAGUGUGACCCAGUGUGUGUGUGGGAGUCAGUGUGAUCCAGUGUGUGGGAGUCAGUGUGACCCAGUGUGUGUGGGAGUCAGUGUGACCCAGUGUGUGUGGGAGCCAGUGUGACCCAGUGUGUGUGUGUGUGGGAGCCAGUGUGAUCCAGUGUGUGUGGGAGUCAGUGUGAUCCAGUGUGUGUGGGAGUCAGUGUGACCCAGUGUGUGUGGGAGUCAGUGUGACCCAGUGUGUGUGGGAGUCAGUGUGAUCCAAUGUGUCUGGGAGUCAGUGUGAUCCAGUGUGUGUGUAAGUCAGUGUGACCCAGUGUGUGGGAGUCAGUGUGACCCAGUGUGUGUGGGAGUCAGUGUGAUCCAGUGUGUGUGGGAGUCAGUGUGACCCAGUGUGUGGGAGUCAGUGUGAACCAGUGUGUGUGGGAGUCAGUGUGAUCCAGUGUGUGGGAGUCAGUGUGAUCCAGUGUGUGUGGGAGUCAGUGUGAUCCAGUGUGUGUGUGGGAGUCCGUGUGAUCCAGUGUGUGGGGGAGUCAGUGUGAUCCAGUGUGCAGUGACCCAGUGUGUGUGUGGGAGUCAGUGUGAUCCAGUGUGUGUGUGGGAGUCAGUGUGAUCCAGUGUGUGUGUGGGAGUCAGUGUGACCCAGUGUGUGUGGGAGUCAGUGUGAUCCAGUGUGUGUGGGAGUCAGUGUGAUCCAGUGUGUGUGUGAGUCAGUGUGACCCAGUGUGUGUGGGAGUCAGUGUGA